RNAcentral lists this ribosomal RNA (253 nucleotides) under uncultured bacterium. RNAcentral describes it as "partial 16S ribosomal RNA". It matches the Rfam family "Bacterial small subunit ribosomal RNA", at positions 524 to 776 of the family's 1533-position model. The record is from RNAcentral.
UACGUAGGGUGCGAGCGUUGUCCGGAAUUAUUGGGCGUAAAGAGCUCGUAGGCGGUUUGUCGCGUCGGCCGUGAAAACUUGGGGUUUAACCCCAAGCCUGCGGUCGAUACGGGCAGACUUGAGUUCGGCAGGGGAGACUGGAAUUCCUGGUGUAGCGGUGAAAUGCGCAGAUAUCAGGAGGAACACCGGUGGCGAAGGCGGGUCUCUGGGCCGAUACUGACGCUGAGGAGCGAAAGCGUGGGGAGCGAACAGG